This 444-nucleotide ribosomal RNA is filed under the name Achromobacter spanius. RNAcentral describes it as "bacterial SSU rRNA". It matches the Rfam family "Bacterial small subunit ribosomal RNA", at positions 87 to 527 of the family's 1533-position model. The record is from RNAcentral. Lineage: Bacteria; Pseudomonadati; Pseudomonadota; Betaproteobacteria; Burkholderiales; Alcaligenaceae.
GGUGGCGAGUGGCGAACGGGUGAGUAAUGUAUCGGAACGUGCCUAGUAGCGGGGGAUAACUACGCGAAAGCGUAGCUAAUACCGCAUACGCCCUACGGGGGAAAGCAGGGGAUCGCAAGACCUUGCACUAUUAGAGCGGCCGAUAUCGGAUUAGCUAGUUGGUGGGGUAACGGCUCACCAAGGCGACGAUCCGUAGCUGGUUUGAGAGGACGACCAGCCACACUGGGACUGAGACACGGCCCAGACUCCUACGGGAGGCAGCAGUGGGGAAUUUUGGACAAUGGGGGAAACCCUGAUCCAGCCAUCCCGCGUGUGCGAUGAAGGCCUUCGGGUUGUAAAGCACUUUUGGCAGGAAAGAAACGUCAUGGGUUAAUACCCCGUGAAACUGACGGUACCUGCAGAAUAAGCACCGGCUAACUACGUGCCAGCAGCCGCGGUAAUACA